UACGUAGGGUGCAAGCGUUGUCCGGAAUUAUUGGGCGUAAAGAGCUCGUAGGCGGUCUGUUACGUCGGCUGUGAAACCCGGGGCUCAACCCCGGGCCUGCAGCCGAUACGGGCAGACUAGAGUUCGGCAGGGGAGACUGGAAUUCCUGGUGUAGCGGUGAAAUGCGCAGAUAUCAGGAGGAACACCUAUGGCGAAGGCAGCUCGCUGGGACGGUACUGACGCUGAGACGCCGAAAGCGUGGGAGGCGAACAGG
RNAcentral lists this ribosomal RNA (253 nucleotides) under uncultured bacterium. Its description in RNAcentral is "partial 16S ribosomal RNA". It matches the Rfam family "Bacterial small subunit ribosomal RNA", at positions 524 to 776 of the family's 1533-position model. The record is from RNAcentral.